CAAAAAUAAAAUUCUAAUGCCCCUCAGCUAUCUGAACGGAUCCCCCCUCUCGGCCAAGGGCCUUCCAGAGUUAACCUGAAAAUCUAGUUCAGGCCAGGACGGGAAGUGGGGGUCAGACAUGCCUCAUCACCCCAACAUCAACACAGACCUUCAGUCUGACAAGAAACAUGUACAAUAUCUUGUUUCUGAAGCCUGCUACCUCGAGGCUUCCUCUGCAUGAUGAAACCUUGGUCUCCACAACCUUUCAUCGUAACUCAGACAUUCCUUUCUAUUGAUAGUAACUCUUUCAACCAAUUGCCAAUUGGAAAAUGUUUACACGUGCUUAUGACCUGGAAGUCACCCUGCCCCCGCCACCAACUUCGAGUUGUCCCACCCUUUCAGACAGGACCAACGUACAUCUCGCAAAUAUUGAUUGAUGUCUCAUGUCUCCCUGCAAUGUAUGGAAGCAAGCUGUGCCCCACCAUCUUGGGCACAUGUCCUCAGGACCUCCUGAGGCUGUGUCACGGGCGCAUUCUUAACCUUGGCAAAAUAAAACUUUCUAAAUAGAUUGAGACAUGUCCCCGAUACUUUUGGGUUCACGUCUGUCACUGAGAUGGUAACUGUGGUCAUUUGAAUACCCCCUCACAUUAUCCUCAUCUCGUCACAGCAGCCCUAUUCAUCUGGCAAAUUGAGGGGGAUCACUUGGAAUAUUAUGUUUUUAUUAAAAAUACGAUUUUGGUUUUCUAAGAGAUGCUCUGGGCUGCUCUAAACCAGGGACUGCAGGGCCCACCUGUUUCUGCAAAUGAGGUUUCAUUGGCACUCAGCCAGGUCCAUUUAUUUACACAUUGCCUAGGCUCCUUUCUAGAGCUGAGUUGUUGCGUCAGGGACCACAUGGCCUUCAGAGCCUAAAAUAUUUACUCUCUGGCCCCUUAAGAAAAUGUUUGUCAGCUCCUACUCUAAACAAAACCCCUGGCCACAUGGCCUCUGGCGCUGCGUUAAGGUCUUUGCUGUGCCCUUUGCGGACACGGACACGCUAGGGAUGAACUGACUCAGAGCCGGCCAGUUUCAGGCUCCUUCCUGGAGCGAUAGGAACCUGUAAUUCUCAGCCCAUGUGACCAGUACUGGCCAAUGAAAUGCAAGCGGAACUGACCUGCGCCUCCAGGCUGAGGCAGUGAAACGCUCCUGAGCCUUUCCCCAGUCUCACUCUUCUCCCCUAUGGCAACCAGCAAACUUCCAGAGAGCGGAGGCAGGGGCCCUGCACGGGGUAGAGCGCAGACUCCGCCACUGCCUACCUAUGAUGGGCUUGCAGUGAGCAAGAAAUCAGCUGUUGCAUAUUAUGGCACUGAGAUUUUUAGGGUUGUUUGUUACAGCACGAUAAGCCUAGCUCAUUCUGACUAGGAUGGUGGUCUUUUUGCUGUCAUAAUUAAUUUCCAUUUCUCAGGGUUUAAAAGGGUGCACUGCCCCCCCCCCCCCCCCCCGCAGAUCUCAGGUGGGCAUUUUUGAACUUAACUAGAUAACAAAACACAGCUAAGACAAGUCCUUUUCUCCAGCAAAGAUGGCAAUGCUCUAAUAACUCUGAGCAUAUUAAAGAUUCUCCAAGACUCUAGCCUCUGCUGCAAAAACACAUACAAAUACCUACUACUACUGCUGCUGUGAUGAUGAUGAUGACAGCAAUAGUGAGAAUAUUUUAAAUAUGCCAGGCACGGUGGCAACUGCUUUCCAAAUAUUAUCAUAUUUAAUCUGAUCAUUGCCCUAUGAGGUAGGAAGUAUUCUGAUUCCCAUUUUAUAAAUAAGGAACCCGAGGCUUAGAGAGCAUCAGUGACUUGUUCAAGGUCACCCACAGCUGUCAAGUGACAGAACUUCGAUAAAAAUCCAGACUCCUUUAAUGGAGUAUGGAGGGAGGUCAGAAAACAUAGGAAGUAAGGGAUUGUGAUUGACAAUGCGUCCUUGCAAAGGGACAGGUUAAGAGACACAAGGGCAGCUGUCUGAGGUGUGCCAUUCACCAGCUUCAGGAGAGAAGUGGCAGGCUACCUCCAGCUAUCCAGCCCUAUCCAGCCAAGGAAGCUUGGGAGACAUGUUAGUUCCCGCCUUCAUUUCCAUCAGCAACCUCAAAGCCACCCCUUGAUAUGAUGAAAAUAACAUUGUUUGAUAAAGAGUUGAUAUUCUCAAUCUUAUGAAAAUGUGGAUUAAAGCAUCUUACUGAUUUAUUUAAUCUGAAACAAAACAGCUGUUAAAGUGAACUAAAUAUGGUCUGAGAAGGACUCCGUACUUCUUUUUUUUUUUUUUUUUUUUUUUUUUUUUUGUAGAUGGAGACUUGCCCUGUUGCCCAGACUGGAAUCCAGUGGCACAAUCUCGGCUCACUGCAGCCUCCACCUCCCAGGUUCCAGUGAUUCCACUGCCUCAGCCUCCCGGGUAGCUGGGAUUACAGGCACACACCACCACGCCCAGCUAAUUUUUGUAUUUGUAGUAGAGAUAGGGUUUCACAAGUUGGCCAAGCUGGUCUCGAACUCCUGACCUCAGGUGAUCCAGCCACCUUGGCCUCCCAAAGUGCUAGGAUUACAGGCGUGAGCCACUGCGCCCAGCCAGGGCUCCAUACUUCUAUAUUUGAGUCCUUGUGGAUGAACUGCAACCUAGCUUAAUAGGUAGACAAGAUUGAAAACCUAACUUAGGAGUAUGCGCCCGGAACAAUAGCUGAGUCUUGGCCAAGCCCAGCGGCCGUACUUCAACCACUCAUAUGCUGCUGAGUCUUUAAGCUGUGUUCAAAUAAGGCAAACACCAUACUGCAACCAAUCCAGCCAUCCUGUACCUCACUUCCAAUUUCUGUACAUCAUUUCCCUUUCUUUGUCUAUAAAUCUUCUUCCACCACGUGGCUGCAUGGUAGUCUCUGCUGUGACUCUGGGGGCUG
This 2884-nucleotide long non-coding RNA is filed under the name Homo sapiens (human). Its description in RNAcentral is "HSALNT0273639". Lineage: Eukaryota; Metazoa; Chordata; Mammalia; Primates; Hominidae. The record is from RNAcentral.